CAUUACGUUUGCCGUUACAAAUAAAAACCGUUCGUUCGGCUCAUAAAUUAAAAAAUGUUUCCCAAUAAAAGCAAAAAAAUGGAUUUUCUAAAAUUAAAGCGAAUAUUGUUAUUCGUCAUUAUGGGUAUCUGGCUGAUAAUCGUUGGCUGCAACUGGUGCCGGCACAAAUGGGUAGCACUGAAACGCCGACUGAUUAACGAAUGGGCAGCACUCUGUCAGAAGUUUAUAGCAGCCUAUUGGAUCCUAACUGUUUAGAUAUUUAGAUAUUAAGAUGUAGACUCUAAGAUAACUUUCGCAGAAAAGCAUCACACAACUCAAAGAUGCAAUAAAUACACGGUUUUGGGGCAGAUCCUCCCAACCCAAAAGGGAGUAUAAGAUCGCAUACAAGCUACAAUUUGAUCUAUCGCUCAUCGACGAUGGAAAAGAGGAAACAACAACAAAAUCAGGGGCGCAUCUCAGUGGAAUACACUUUUUUCUUGAACACUGAACUAAGAAAUAAGUAUCUAAACAAAGAAGAAGUAUCUUAAAGUUACAGAGAUGCAGAAACAGACACAAAUUGAAAGUAUACAAACAGCUGCCAGAUAUUGUAUCUUAAAAAGUAUCUGAAGUAAAAACACAACCAAGGAAGAUGAUUUGUACAUACAAAAAAACAUACCACAGUGUUUGAAACAGUAAAAUGAAUCUAUGGGA
Long non-coding RNA from Drosophila miranda, 690 nucleotides. RefSeq lists it as uncharacterized. The record is from RefSeq and is a predicted model, not a curated record. Lineage: Eukaryota; Metazoa; Arthropoda; Insecta; Diptera; Drosophilidae. The transcript has 2 exons.